CGAUCUGUUUGGGAAUCCACUGAUUUGCCUAAAAACUGUUUUAUAUUUAAUAUUCUAGAAUAAGUGUAUCUUUUGGUUAAUGGAAAGAGAACAAUAGCUUAUGAAAUUGAGUUAAACCCCAAAACUAUUCUUAACUUCACCAUGACUCCAGCACAGUCUCAUCUAACAAGAAAAAUAUAUCAUUAAUUUGGCUUUAUAUAAAAACUGACUUUGUCUUAAUUUUAUAUUUGGUAUUCUAUUAAAUAUAUAAGGAAUAUCACAACUUCAGGUCACUGUUUUGAAUGAAACAGAAUAAAUUAUAUUUCCCCAAAUAACUUUUAUAUUUGAGUACUAAAAUUAUCAGAAAUCAAGCCUAAGACGCUGUAAAAAAGUUAUUUUCGGGGUCAGAGUUGACCAUUUUUAUA
This 404-nucleotide long non-coding RNA is filed under the name Bos taurus (domestic cattle). Its description in RNAcentral is "long non-coding RNA NONBTAT012745". The record is from RNAcentral. Lineage: Eukaryota; Metazoa; Chordata; Mammalia; Artiodactyla; Bovidae.